RNAcentral lists this unclassified non-coding RNA (334 nucleotides) under soil metagenome. Its description in RNAcentral is "partial contains 5.8S ribosomal RNA, internal transcribed spacer 2, and large subunit ribosomal RNA". The stretch from base 1 to 120 matches the Rfam family "5.8S ribosomal RNA", at positions 35 to 154 of the family's 154-position model. The record is from RNAcentral.
GAUGAAGAACGUAGCGAAAUGCGAUAAGUAAUGUGAAUUGCAGAAUUCAGUGAAUCAUCGAAUCUUUGAACGCACAUUGCGCCCGCCAGGAUUCUGGCGGGCAUGCCUGUUCGAGCGUCAUUUCAACCAUCAAGCCCUGCUUGCGUUGGGGUCCUGCGGCUGCCCGCAGGCCCUGAAAACCAGUGGCGGGCUCGCUAGUCACACCGAGCGCAGUAAUACAUCUCGCUUUGGGCGUGCGGCGGGUUCUUGCCGUUAAACACCCCCUUUUUACCAAGGUUGACCUCGGAUCAGGUAGGAAUACCCGCUGAACUUAAGCAUAUCAAUAAGCGGAGGA